RNAcentral lists this ribosomal RNA (507 nucleotides) under uncultured bacterium. RNAcentral describes it as "bacterial SSU rRNA". It matches the Rfam family "Bacterial small subunit ribosomal RNA", at positions 29 to 524 of the family's 1533-position model. The record is from RNAcentral.
AGUGAACGCUGGCGGCAGGCCUAACACAUGCAAGUCGAACGGCAGCACAGAGGAGCUUGCUCCUUGGGUGGCGAGUGGCGGACGGGUGAGGAAUACGUCGGAAUCUGCCUAUUUGUGGGGGAUAACGUAGGGAAACUUACGCUAAUACCGCAUACGACCUUAGGGUGAAAGCGGAGGACCUUUGGGCUUCGCGCAGAUAGAUGAGCCGACGUCGGAUUAGCUUGUUGGUGAGGUAACGGCUCACCAAGGCGACGAUCCGUAGCUGGUCUGAGAGGAUGAUCAGCCACACUGGAACUGAGACACGGUCCAGACUCCUACGGGAGGCAGCAGUGGGGAAUAUUGGACAAUGGGCGAAAGCCUGAUCCAGCCAUGCCGCGUGAGUGAAGAAGGCCCUCGGGUUGUAAAGCUCUUUUGUCCGGAAAGAAAAGCUUUCGGUUAAUACCCGGAAGUCAUGACGGUACCGGAAGAAUAAGCACCGGCUAACUUCGUGCCAGCAGCCGCGUAAAC